RNAcentral lists this ribosomal RNA (474 nucleotides) under uncultured bacterium. RNAcentral describes it as "bacterial SSU rRNA". It matches the Rfam family "Bacterial small subunit ribosomal RNA", at positions 335 to 803 of the family's 1533-position model. The record is from RNAcentral.
ACUCCUACGGGAGGCAGCAGUGGGGAAUAUUGGACAAUGGGGGGAACCCUGAUCCAGCCAUGCCGCGUGUGUGAAGAAGGCCUUAUGGUUGUAAAGCACUUUAAGCGAGGAGGAGGCUACUGAGACUAAUACUCUUGGAUGGUGGACGUUACUCGCAGAAUAAGCACCGGCUAACUCUGUGCCAGCAGCCGCGGUAAUACAGAGGGUGCGAGCGUUAAUCGGAUUUACUGGGCGUAAAGCGUGCGUAGGCGGCUUUUAAGUCGGAUGUGAAAUCCCCGAGCUUAACUUGGGAAUUGCAUUCGAUACUGGGGAAGCUAGAGUAUGGGAGAGGAUGGUAGAAUUCCAGGUGUAGCGGUGAAAUGCGUAGAGAUCUGGAGGAAUACCGAUGGCGAAGGCAGCCAUCUGGCCUAAUACUGACGCUGAGGUACGAAAGCAUGGGAGCAAACAGGAUUAGAUACCCCUGGUAGCGACUGA